Micropterus dolomieu (smallmouth bass) is the source of this 386-nucleotide long non-coding RNA. RefSeq lists it as uncharacterized. The record is from RefSeq and is a predicted model, not a curated record. The transcript has 3 exons. Lineage: Eukaryota; Metazoa; Chordata; Actinopteri; Centrarchiformes; Centrarchidae.
UAAAGACAUAAAUUGAGCCUCAGCUUCAUUAACAGCCUCUCUUCCUUGUUGCGGUGGUGCUGGUCGGUCAUGUUUAGGUGGAGAGACGAAGACCCAUGUGCAUGAAGCUCCAUUUACGGAUGUUCAGUGCCUGGACUGGAUUUAUCUUGAUGAGGUAACUGGAAAAGAGUCCACUGCUGGAUCACCCCAGUUUGUUUGUUUUUUGUUCUUUGUUGAAGCCUAAAAGGACAAAGCUGAAUGUUGUAGGGCAAGUUUAAAACCUAUAAGUAUGACUUGCUUCUGGGAAUGUCUUAUCUAUGCACAUGAAUAGGAUCCAAAUCCCUACUUAAACUAGUCUUGACACUGUGUGAACUGUUUCACUGGUAAAUAAAGUGUUAUCAAGUGUU